UUCACGUCCCUUCCCCUCAACCCCUCACGUCUCACUCACAUUGCACACAUUCACAUUCCAAUCCCUACUUUCUUCACAUAAAUUAUAAACCACAUACACAUCUAUAUAUUAGAGGGACUUGAAUCUGUGAAAAGGGGAAGAAGGAAGAAAAACGUGAGAGAGAAGAAGAACGAAAAGACUGCCUUCUUCUUCAGUUUUAGUUUCCAUCUCUAUUGUAGCAAAAUCAGAAAAUUUUCAGCCAUAAAAAUUCCAUAAUUCGAGCUUCAACUCGUACCCAUGUUACUAAAUAUAACACCUUAAUACCACCUGAAAUUAGUGUCUAUUUCCGUUCGAAGUUCCCGUCUUGAGUCAGCUGCUAGGUUGCAUCAUCAAAUUUCCCACGCUCGUGAUUGUUCGGCAUAUUCUAUCGAGAACUUUGUUAUAUAAAGAAGAAACCAUUACUCUAAAUGAUCAAUUUUCCUUUUUGCUUAUGAUAAAUUAUCAUCGACAUCUUAUUGAAUGUGUUUAUCUGUUUGUUUGGAAGCUACAAGUUGUGUCGUCCCUUCACUAUUAUUGAUUAUCUUACCUACAUGUAUGAUAAAUCUGUAAUUCACUAGUUGUGCAAUUUUCGUUUAGUUUUGUAGUAUUGAUGUUGUUUUAGAUAGAUAUUGAUAAUGAAAGGUAAUGAAGAAAAAAAAAGUUCUAAGACAAUUUUAUCUAGAUUUUUAUUGAUUACUUAGUUGAAUAAAUAAAGCUAUUGUGUGGUAUGGAUAUAAAAGGACAUGAAAAGAGCAUGAAUUGUUGUUUGGUAAACAUAUGUAAAAGUCAAGUGAAUUAGUUGGAGGAUUAUAUUCCAUGAACCUCCUUUACAUGUAUAUAGGCGGUCCAAUCUCUUUACCUUCGUUAUGUGAAUUUCCUUGAUCAUA
This 905-nucleotide long non-coding RNA is filed under the name Nicotiana benthamiana. RNAcentral's name for it is "long non-coding RNA (NBEN_LNC004968)". The record is from RNAcentral. Lineage: Eukaryota; Viridiplantae; Streptophyta; Magnoliopsida; Solanales; Solanaceae.